Molecule: microRNA precursor, 206 nt
Filed under: Oryza brachyantha (malo sina)
Lineage: Eukaryota; Viridiplantae; Streptophyta; Magnoliopsida; Poales; Poaceae
Description: MIR812 microRNA precursor family
Rfam family: MIR812 microRNA precursor family
Source: Rfam by way of RNAcentral
AAUAAACGAAUUUUCGAGUUUUUGGAUAGAAUUAUUGACUCUUCGUCUUAUUUGAAUUUUUUAUAAUUAAUAUUUUUAUUGUUACUACAUGAUAAAAUAUAAAUAUUACUUUACGUGCGACUAAUUUUUUUUAAUUUUUUAAUAUUUUUUUUAAAUAAGACGGAUGGUUAAAUGCUCGAACUAUAAAACCCAGAAAUCCUCUUUUU